This 486-nucleotide ribosomal RNA is filed under the name uncultured bacterium. RNAcentral's name for it is "partial 16S ribosomal RNA". It matches the Rfam family "Bacterial small subunit ribosomal RNA", at positions 30 to 507 of the family's 1533-position model. The record is from RNAcentral.
AUUGAACGCUGGCGGCAUGCCUUACACAUGCAAGUCGAACGGCAGCACGGGGGGUAACCCCUGGUGGCGAGUGGCGAACGGGUGAGUAAUAUAUCGGAACGUGUCCUGUAGCGGGGGAUAACCUAUCGAAAGAUGGACUAAUACCGCAUACGACCUACGGGUGAAAGCGGAGGACCGCAAGGCUUCGCACUAUAGGAGCGGCCGAUAUCGGAUUAGCUAGUUGGCGGGGUAACGGCCCACCAAGGCGACGAUCCGUAGCUGGUCUGAGAGGACGAUCAGCCACACUGGAACUGAGACACGGUCCAGACUCCUACGGGAGGCAGCAGUGGGGAAUUUUGGACAAUGGGCGCAAGCCUGAUCCAGCCAUGCUGCGUGAGUGAAGAAGGCCUUCGGGUUGUAAAGCUCUUUCGGCGGGGACGAAACGGUUCGUGCUAAUACCACGGACUACUGACGGUACCCGCAGAAGAAGCACCGGCUAACUACGUG